AAGCAAGUUUCCACAACUGAGAAAACUCGUGCAACUUGGAACCCCGCCUGGUCUUUCCAGGUCUAGAGGGGUGACACUUUGCACGGUGCUCGACUCCACGCCCGGUCCACUGGCGGGUGUUAGUAGCAGCACUGUUGUUUCGUAGCGGAGCAUGGUGGCCGUGGGAACUCCCCCUUGGAGACAAGGACCCGCGGGGCCAAAAGCCACGUCCGGACGGACCCACCAUGUGUGCAACCCCAGCACGGCAACUUUACUGCGAACGCCACCUUAAGGUGACACUGGUACUGGUACUCGGUCACUGGUGACAGGCUAAGGAUGCCCUUCAGGUACCCCGAGGUAACACGGGACACUCGGGAUCUGAGAAGGGGAUUUGGGACUUCUCUAAAAGUGCCCAGUUUAAAAAGCUUCUAUGCCUGAAUAGGCGACCGGAGGCCGGCGCCUUUCUACUACCCACUACUAAAUC
RNAcentral lists this non-coding RNA (463 nucleotides) under Foot-and-mouth disease virus O/ES/2001. RNAcentral describes it as "Aphthovirus internal ribosome entry site (IRES)". It matches the Rfam family "Aphthovirus internal ribosome entry site (IRES)". From Rfam's summary of the family: IRES elements allow cap and end-independent translation of mRNA in the host cell. The IRES achieves this by mediating the internal initiation of translation by recruiting a ribosomal 43S pre-initiation complex directly to the initiation codon and eliminates the requirement for eIF4F. The record is from Rfam by way of RNAcentral. Lineage: Riboviria; Orthornavirae; Pisuviricota; Pisoniviricetes; Picornavirales; Picornaviridae.